RNAcentral lists this ribosomal RNA (505 nucleotides) under uncultured bacterium. RNAcentral's name for it is "partial 16S ribosomal RNA". It matches the Rfam family "Bacterial small subunit ribosomal RNA", at positions 28 to 507 of the family's 1533-position model. The record is from RNAcentral.
GACGAACGCUGGCGGCGUGCCUAAUACAUGCAAGUAGAACGCACAGUUUAUACCGUAGCUUGCUACACCAUAGACUGUGAGUUGCGAACGGGUGAGUAACGCGUAGGUAACAUGCCUGGUAGCGGGGGAUAACUCUUGGAAACGAUAGCUAAUACCGCAUAAUAUUAAUUAUUGCAUGAUAAUUAAUUGAAAGGUGCAAUUGCACCACUACCAGAUGGACCUGCGUUGUAUUAGCUAGUAGGAGAGGUAACGGCUCACCUAGGCGACGAUACAUAGCCGACCUGAGAGGGUGGUCGGCCACACUGGGAAUGAGACACGGCCCAGACUCCUACGGGGGGCAGCAGUAGGGAAGCUUCGGCAAAUGACGAAAGUCUGACCGAGCAACGCCGCGGGAGUGAAGAAGGUUUUCGGAUCGUAAAGCUCUGUUGUAAGAGAAGAACGGUAGUGGGAGUUGAAAGUUCACACUGUGACGGUAUCUUACCAGAAAGGGACGGCUAACUACGUG